RNAcentral lists this ribosomal RNA (442 nucleotides) under uncultured bacterium. RNAcentral describes it as "partial 16S ribosomal RNA". It matches the Rfam family "Bacterial small subunit ribosomal RNA", at positions 338 to 795 of the family's 1533-position model. The record is from RNAcentral.
ACUACGGGUGGCAGCAGUGGGGAAUAUUGGGCAAUGGGCGCAAGCCUGACCCAGCAACGCCGCGUGAAGGAAGAAGGCUUUCGGGUUGUAAACUUCUUUUGACAGGGAAGAGCAGAAGACGGUACCUGUCGAAUAAGCAACGGCUAACUACGUGCCAGCAGCCGGGGUAAUACGUAGGUGGCAAGCGUUGUCCGGAUUUACUGGGUGUAAAGGGCGUGUAGGCGGGCUGACAAGUCAGAUGUGAAAUCCGGGGGCUCAACCCCCGAACUGCAUUUGAAACUGUUGGUCUUGAGUAUCGGAGAGGCAGGCGGAAUUCCUAGUGUAGCGGUGAAAUGCGUAGAUAUUAGGAGGAACACCAGUGGCGAAGGCGGCCUGCUGGACGACAACUGACGGUGAGGCGCGAAAGCGUGGGGAGCAAACAGGAUUAGAUACCCUUGUAGUC